UACCGAUAGGUGGUUUUACAAGUCAGAAGUGAAAUCUUUAAGCUCAACUUAGAGACUGUCUUUUGAAACUGUAAAACUUGAGGGGCAAAGAGGAAGCUGGAACGAACGGUGUAGUAGUGAAAUGCGUUGAUAUCGUUCGGAACACCAAUAGCGUAGGCAGGCUUCUGGGUGCCACCUGACACUGCUAGGACGAAAGCGUGGGGAGCGAUAAGGAUUAGAUACCCUUGUAGUCCACGCUGUAAACGAUGCGCAUUCGCUGCUCGCGAGUAUCGACCCUCGUGAGUAGCUCAGCUAACGCGUUAAAUGCGCCGCCUGGGGAGUACGGCCGCAAGGCUAAA
Molecule: ribosomal RNA, 338 nt
Filed under: uncultured bacterium
Lineage: Bacteria
Description: partial 16S ribosomal RNA
Rfam family: Bacterial small subunit ribosomal RNA
Source: RNAcentral